This 490-nucleotide ribosomal RNA is filed under the name uncultured Actinomycetes bacterium. RNAcentral's name for it is "bacterial SSU rRNA". It matches the Rfam family "Bacterial small subunit ribosomal RNA", at positions 335 to 839 of the family's 1533-position model. Lineage: Bacteria; Bacillati; Actinomycetota; Actinomycetes. The record is from RNAcentral.
ACUCCUACGGGAGGCAGCAGUGGGGAAUCUUGCACAAUGGGCGAAAGCCUGAUGCGGCAACGCCGCGUGCGGGAAGAAGGCCCUAGGGUUGUAAACCGCUUUCAGUAGGGAAGAAAAUGACGGUACCUACAGAAGAAGGUGCGGCCAACUACGUGCCAGCAGCCGCGGUGACACGUAGGCACCAAGCGUUAUCCGGAUUUAUUGGGCGUAAAGAGCUCGUAGGCGGUUCGGUAAGUCGGGUGUGAAAACUCUGGGCUCAACCCAGAGAGGCCACCCGAUACUGCUGUGACUAGAGUGCGGUAGGGGAGCGGGGAAUUCCUGGUGUAGCGGUGAAAUGCGCAGAUAUCAGGAGGAACACCAGCGGCGAAGGCGCCGCUCUGGGCCGUAACUGACGCUGAGGAGCGAAAGCAUGGGUAGCAAACAGGAUUAGAUACCCUGGUAGUCCAUGCCGUAAACGUUGGGCACUAGGUGUGGGUCUCAACCAACGAGA